CUUCAUCUCCUCCAAGCGAAAUAUGUACUCCAUGAUGUUGAGCGCAUGCUUUAGACGCUGCUGUCGAUUCGAGGCGCUGUCAGAAACUGAAUGAUGCUGGGAUUAGACUGCACAAUUUCUAAUCCCUCUGUGGCAUAGUACGGACCGCAUGAGCCUAGGACCGCUGGAAACACUGAUUCCUCAUCGAACAGCUUGCCCAUCAUAUAGUUGUUGUCCUUGAACAAUCUCCAAAAGCUAACCAUUUGCUGUGAGUUAUUAUCCGCAAUCUCCUGAUUGACCAAGGCGCGUAUCUUAAAAUCCAAGGCGAAAAGUUUUUGAAGCAGCAGCUUUAGGAAUUAUCUGCAGGCAUACCAUAUUAUCGUCCAAUGUUACAUUGUAGGCCAGAAUGAUGUGCAACUUGACAAUUUCAUGGAACUCCUCGAUCUUAGGAUAAAUAGCCUCGCCCUUGCUGUUCGUCCAGCUCAAGUCGUCAUCGUUGUGCUUGGCCAGCUAAUUGCCAGCAGCGGUUUGGAAUGGUUGGUAGUCAUGACAACCGAAAAACUAAUGCCAAACUGACCUACCUUCACGGCGAGCAUAUCGCCAUUCUUUUCGGCCGUAAACAAUAUCGUUUUCAUAUCAUUUAACGGGCACUGGAAGUUGUCAAAGUUCGACUGGCUGCUGCACAGUUCCUCGCAAAGGGAUCCACUAAACUCAUGGUGUUCAUACUUUUGGCACUAAAUUUGUUGGUAUUGGUCUGUUUAUUAAUUGUGCGUCAAAAAAGGUGGUGAGACUUUUUUUCCCUUA
Molecule: non-coding RNA, 783 nt
Organism: Drosophila virilis
Lineage: Eukaryota; Metazoa; Arthropoda; Insecta; Diptera; Drosophilidae
Source: RefSeq, a predicted model, not a curated record